This is a non-coding RNA of Oryza barthii, 213 nucleotides long. NCBI's taxonomy places the organism in Eukaryota, Viridiplantae, Streptophyta, Magnoliopsida, Poales, Poaceae. The record is from Rfam.
AAUAAAUACAAUUCUACACUAUUCAUAUCUAACAUUGGAUUUGGACCGUUCGUCUUAUUUGAAUUAUUUUAUAAUUAUUAUUUUUAUUGUUAUUAGAUAAUAAAACAUGAAUAAUACUUUAUGUGUAACUUAUUAUUUUUAUUUUUUUCAUAAAUUUUUGAAAUAAGACGGAUAGUUAAACGUUAGACACAAAUACCCAUCUAUACACUUAUU